Molecule: ribosomal RNA, 321 nt
Filed under: Triticum aestivum (bread wheat)
Lineage: Eukaryota; Viridiplantae; Streptophyta; Magnoliopsida; Poales; Poaceae
Description: partial small subunit ribosomal RNA
Source: RNAcentral
AUGCUGCCACCAGAGUCGACUGUCGUACCACCGCUCCGCCGUCGCAGCCCACCACCGCGUCGACGAACCACGGUGCCACCGUUGACACAAUCCGCACUUCCGUCAUCGCCCACCACCGUUACCAUCAGAGCCGCUGUGAUCUCAGAAAGAGAUUCAUUGAUAAGUAAGACCCAUAUGUUAGAUUUAAUAAUGGGAAAGAAUUAUUGGGCUCUGAAAAAACAUCUCACCUCUAAACUUCUCAAUUAUUGGGACAGGCCCAAUAACUACUUAUUCAGGAGUUUUUUUCUUUUUGGGGAUGAGGCUCUCUUAGAGAUGCUCUAA